Molecule: transfer RNA, 72 nt
Filed under: Muntiacus reevesi (Reeves' muntjac)
Lineage: Eukaryota; Metazoa; Chordata; Mammalia; Artiodactyla; Cervidae
Also listed under: 5 other names
Rfam family: tRNA
About the family: Transfer RNA (tRNA) molecules are approximately 80 nucleotides in length. Their secondary structure includes four short double-helical elements and three loops (D, anti-codon, and T loops).
Source: Rfam by way of RNAcentral
UCCCUGGUGGCUCAGACAGUAAAGAAUCUGCCUGCAAUGCAGGAGACCUGGGUUCGAUUCCUGGGUUGGGAA